This 465-nucleotide ribosomal RNA is filed under the name uncultured bacterium. RNAcentral's name for it is "partial 16S ribosomal RNA". It matches the Rfam family "Bacterial small subunit ribosomal RNA", at positions 338 to 795 of the family's 1533-position model. The record is from RNAcentral.
CCUACGGGGUGCUGCAGUGGGGAAUAUUGCGCAAUGGGCGAAAGCCUGACGCAGCGACGCCGCGUGAGGGAUGAAGGUCUUCGGAUCGUACACCUCUGUCAGCAGGGAAGAACGGUCACUGUGCUAAUCAGCAGUGAAUUGACGGUACCUGCAAAGGAAGCACCGGCUAACUCCGUGCCAGCAGCCGCGGUAAUACGGAGGGUGCGAGCGUUAAUCGGAAUUACUGGGCGUAAGGCGCUCGUAGGCGGUAUGUCAAGUCAAGGGUGAAAUCCCCGCGCUCAAGGUGGGAACUGCCUUUGAAACUGGCAAACUGGAGUGUGUGAGAGGAUAGAGGAAUUCCAGGUGUAGGAGUGAAAUCCGUAGAUAUCUGGAGGAACAUCAGUGGCGAAGGCGACUAUCUGGCACAUAACUGACGCUGAGGAGCGAAAGCGUGGGUAGCAAACAGGAUUAGAUACCCCAGUAGUC